This is a long non-coding RNA of Onychostoma macrolepis, 1500 nucleotides long. RefSeq lists it as uncharacterized. The transcript is spliced from 3 exons. The record is from RefSeq and is a predicted model, not a curated record. Lineage: Eukaryota; Metazoa; Chordata; Actinopteri; Cypriniformes; Cyprinidae.
AGGUGAUUCGAUGCUUCUGUGGUUUAUAAAGUUUUUUUACAUAUGUAAAUAAAGGUUUUUGGUAAGUAAUAUAAUUCAAAAUGUCGUUUUUUUCUUGUCAGAGUGCAGUCUUAUUGAGACUUUUAACGGUUGGAACAAACAUGGUGGAAUUCCUUAACUGGGCAGAGUCCACAAAACCCCAUCCAUUUGUCAUGGCGAUUUGAAAUUGCCAGCAGAUCUCCCAGGCAUUGAUCAUAAUCAAUGGACAGGCCACCGAAGCCACCCGGAUCCAGUCCGUAUCCAAAUCAGAUGGUGGAUCAGCACCUAGAGAUGACCGCGACAGCUCUGAAUGUCAGCAAAGACCACGUCACCUCAACAGCCAUCGGCACAAGGUCGUGGGAACCAGAUGAGUCCUCUACACAAUCUGACUCUGCUGCAGUUGGAAUUGAACUGCUGAUUCGUCUGGCUAGAGGAGAACUGGCCCCUCGACUGAGCCUGGUUUCUCCCAAGGUUUUUUUACACCAUUUCUGUCACCGAUGGAGUUUUGGUUCCUUGCCACUGUCGCCUCUGGCUUGCUUAGUUGGGGACACUUAAUUUCCAGCGAUAUCGUGAGCUUGAAAGCACAGAUACUAUUUGAACUGAACUGAGCUGGACCAUAACUGACUUUAACUGAAAAUUGAGUGUUUACUGUUGUCCUUUUGCAUUUACACACUAUUUUCAGAUUUAAUACUGUAAAGCUGCUUUGACACUGUAUUUUUAAAAUAUGACCGACUCAUUACUCGUAAUACAUGGAAAAUACAGUUUCAAAUGGACUUUGCUUUUCCAUUUGAAAUGUGGCAGUCACUGUGCAUUCGUGAAAACGCAAAAAGUAAUGCAAGAUUUGCAAUUGUGUUUGGAUUCUCACAAUUUGUCACAUGUGGAAAAUAUAAUUUGCAAUUCCUUUUGAAAAUUGCUUGGAAUAUCCUUUCAUAGACAGGCUCUAUAGCAGAGCACACUGCUCUCAGCUGUAGAUCUUUGCUUCAAAGCUUUCUAAGUGUUUGACGAUAGUUUACCCAAAAAUGAAAAUUCUGUCAUUAAUUACCCUGGUGUAAAAGCUCUCGGAUUUCAUUUAAAAUAUCUUAACUUGUGUUCUGAAGAUGAACGAAGGUCUUACGGGUUUGUAACGACAUGAGGGUGAGUAAUUAAUGACAGAAUUUAACUACCUUUAACUACCCUAAGCAGUGCGCAUCUACCUAGGAGACUUUAUAUACUUGAUAUAAAUUUUAGGACAUCUUUAAAUGAUUUUGCAUUCUUUCUUUUUAAAUUCUAAUGGUCAAUGUAAUUUCACUGUGUAUUUAAAUAGUUAAACAUGGCAAAAUGUAAUAGUUAAACAGUUAAACGGGCACAUGUCAUUCAGAACUAAUUUUCUUAUUUAUUGCAACUGUAUUUCUGUGAUUUUUGCAUUUUCUGAAAAAAUAUUCGUCAUUGGUACAAAUUUUAACACAUUUGUGAAUGUCAGUUGGCAUUAAAAAUUAUUUUUAA